GGCGCACGGGUUGAGUAACGCGUAAGUAAUCUACCCUGGUAUCUGGGAUAACCAACCGAAAGGUUGGCUAAUACCGGAUACGCUGGUAACAGGAAAGGUGGCCUCUUCAUGAAAGCUACUGUACCAGGAGGAGCUUGCGUACCAUUAGCUAGUUGGUAGGGUAAUGGCCUACCAAGGCGACGAUGGUUAGCGGGUCUGAGAGGAUGAUCCGCCACACUGGAACUGGAACACGGACCAGACUCCUACGGGAGGCAGCAGUGAGGAAUAUUGCGCAAUGGGGGAAACCCUGACGCAGCGACGCCGCGUGGAUGAUGAAGGCCUUCGGGUCGUAAAAUCCUGUCAGAUGGAAAGAAGUGUAUAGAUGUUAAUAGCAUUUAUAUUUGACGGUACCAUCAAAGGAAGCAUCGGCUAACUCCGUGCCAGCAGCCGCGGUAAUACGGAGGGUGCAAGCGUUGUUCGGAAUUACUGGGCGUAAAGCGCGCGUAGCCGGUUUUAUAAGUCAGAUGUGAAAGUCCACGGCUCAACCGUGGAAGUGCAUUUGAAACUGUAUUACUUGAGACUGGAGGGGGUGGUGGAAUUCCCGGUGU
This 587-nucleotide ribosomal RNA is filed under the name delta proteobacterium FM3-C9. Its description in RNAcentral is "bacterial SSU rRNA". It matches the Rfam family "Bacterial small subunit ribosomal RNA", at positions 97 to 676 of the family's 1533-position model. Lineage: Bacteria; Deltaproteobacteria. The record is from RNAcentral.